RNAcentral lists this ribosomal RNA (631 nucleotides) under Erysiphe euonymicola. Its description in RNAcentral is "partial large subunit ribosomal RNA". It matches the Rfam family "Eukaryotic large subunit ribosomal RNA", at positions 125 to 770 of the family's 3401-position model. Lineage: Eukaryota; Fungi; Ascomycota; Leotiomycetes; Helotiales; Erysiphaceae. The record is from RNAcentral.
GCUCUUCCGGAGUCCGAGUUGUAAUUUGUAGAAGAUGCUUUGGGUGGUGGGUUCGGCCUAAGUUCCUUGGAACAGGGCGUCAUAGAGGGUGAGAAUCCCGUAUGUGGCCGAGGCCCGCGCCUAUGUAAAGCUCUUUCAACGAGUCGAGUUGUUUGGGAAUGCAGCUCAAAAUGGGUGGUAAAUUUCAUCUAAAGCUAAAUAUGGGCCAGAGACCGAUAGCGCACAAGUAGAGUGAUCGAAAGAUGAAAAGCACUUUGGAAAGAGAGUUAAACAGUACGUGAAAUUGUUGAAAGGGAAGCGCUUGCAACCAGACUUGGGCGCUGUCGAUCACCCCGAGUUCUCUCGAGUGCACUCGACAGCGCACAGGCCAGCAUCGGUUCGGGUGGCUGGAUAAAGGCCGUAGGAACGUGGCUCCCUUCGGGGAGUGUUAUAGCCUACGGUGCCAUGCAGCCCAGCCGGACCGAGGACCGCGCCUUCGGGCUAGGAUGCUGGCGUAAUGGUUGUAAGCGACCCGUCUUGAAACACGGACCAAGGAGUCUAACAUCUAUGCGAGUGUUUGGGUGGUAAACCCAUACGCGGAAUGAAAGUGAACGUAGGUGAGAACCCCUUUGGGGCGCAUCAUCGACCGAUC